GUAGGUGAACCUGCGGAGGGAUCAUUAACGAGUGGCCUCGCUCGAGGCCUUCGACCCAUAGACCCGUGGAUGACAAGCGUGCUUCGGCGCUCCGGCGCCGUCCUUAUGCAUUCGUCGGCCUGUGUCUGAAUCAGAAAUAGCAAUCAAAACUUUCAACAAAGGAUCUCUUGGCUCUC
Molecule: unclassified non-coding RNA, 176 nt
Filed under: rhizosphere metagenome
Description: partial ribosomal RNA internal transcribed spacer region
Source: RNAcentral